UUCACACACUGCUCUCCCGUUAUUUGCCUCCUUCCCUCCCGGUCGCCCCUUCCUCCUCCUCCUCCUCCUCCUCCUCCUUUUCCAGUUCAGCGGCGCAAAUUUCUGUUUGUGCCAGUGGGGCGGCCUGGCGAAACCGCAAUUGCUCUACCCCACAGAUUGACGAGCCCUCAGAUGCCGAUUUACUGUACAUGGCAGCCACGCUGGAGCCGAGGCACAUCUGGAGUGGAGUAAGCUUACUCAGAAACAGGGGCCAGCUCCAGCCCGAGCCAGCGGAGCUGAGCAGGGCGCUGAAAGGCAGCCCUCCUGCCUCCCCUUCCCUCCUCCCCGGAUCCCAGUAGGAGAGGGCCAAAAUUCCUCAUGAACCACCUUGGCCGCGUCUCAGCCUUUUCACCUUGGGAAGCACCGGGCAUUACCUCCCUAAGACUCUUUAAAAACCACUCGAGGUGAAAUUCCGUAAGGAGGAGACUGACUGCGUGGCAGAGGUGUUGGUCAGCUUGGAAAGCCUGAACUGCACAUCUCCAAGGUUGGGCAUUACGACAGAAGAACAGAAGGUUUUGAUAACCUGUAUUCUGGUGCCAAGGUCUUAGCUCACUGGGCAUUUAUAAUCCAAAUAGAUUCCGGGCAAAUAUCUGUUGACAGGGAAGAAAAACAAAGGAAGCAAACAAAAUUAGAGAAGAAAAGCCAUGGCAAAGCCAGGUGCCCUCAUGAAGUCCUUUGACAAGAUGAGUCAUGAUUUUGGAGAAUUAAUAACUGUAGACAGCAUUGAUAUUCCAGUGAAAAUGAGAUGGGAUACUUUAUGUUGCAGUCUUAAUGCGUUGUUUUGACGAAGGCACAGGAAUGCCACUAGCAACCUAUGUAAAAAGCUUAUAUACAGCUUUUUGCAUAAAAUUUUCUCAGAGUGUCCCACUAGGGAAUACUGCAACCAUGGUCCCUCUGCCUGAAGAUUAAACUCCCCAGCCAAUGCAUCUCCACCACCUUGAACCCAUCAGCUUCUUGGAUGAUUAAUUUUCCCAUUGAAGAGGAUUUUUUCACAUGAACACUGAUACAUGGUACCCUUUCUAAAGAACUGUGCAGGGCCUACCAUUUUCUAUUUCAAAUGUGGUUCUCAGUGUUUGUCCCCUUUUCUGCAUUUUUUGCAUUUUUUCCAUUAAGCAGUCAUUUAAUAAGAAAAAAUAAAAAGGAAUAGCUCUAGAAGCAGAGACUGUGAGCCAGGAGGGCUUUCUAGAUACCAUCAAGGUGCCUUGAUUAAUGGACUUAUAGUCUUAUUUUUCAGCUUGCUUCUUUGUCUGACUGCGUUAUGUGGCUUUACAAACAGUGGGUCGUCUUCAACAAGGGAAAGGAAGACAUCACUUGGCAGAGCUUGAGUUAAUAAGAUCUCCCCAUCUUGCGAAGCCCAGGCAGGGGAUCUCCCCUGACCUGGGUGAAUUCAAGUCACCUCAGGAUCGUUGCUAGGGCGAGUGCUCAGAUGCCUGACCUAGUAUCUAAAAAAACGAGUGCUGUCAACUCCCACGUCCUGGUGCAUGCCUAAUGCCCCUCUGAGUCUCUCAGGCUCUCGGGGUGUUGCAGUUGUUGUUAUUCCCGGAGGCAGAGGAGACCCCGGCAUGCUGCAGACCCCCAGAGCCAAGGGGCAACCAGGCAGCUCCAGGUGCUGGCCCUGCCGCAGAGCUGUGUGUGGUGUCUGCCCCGGUUCUGAGUGUGCUGGCUGCAGCAGGGCUGGGUGUCCCUCUCCCCUGGCCUGACGGCACCUUGGGCGCCCAGGGUAGGAAACGGGGGGUGCCUGAAUAAUCCUUCUAUCCUGGGUUGGGUGGCUGCUGAGUGGGUAUCCCAAAGUUGGAUGGAGGUGUCUCAUCAUGUAGGUGGUUAAGCCAGGCUUCCCUCCUUCCCUUCAUCCCAACUUCACACCUUCCUACCUCCUUCUCUUCCUUUCCCUCCCUCCAUCCCUCCUGUCUCUCUCUUUAUCUUUCCUUUUCCUCUUAUUUCCUUUUCUUUUGCUUCCUGGCUCGUUUGCUUCUAGUAUCUUUCCCUGGAUAAAGAAUGUGCAAUUUAUUUCCAGAGGAAAGCAUACUUUGUUUUGUACCAAGGGAAAACAUACUCUGGGCAGAUCAGUAUUGUCCAUGAUAGGAUAAAAGAAAUAGCCUGAAUGGUACUGAUUAGAUCCCUUGUUUUCCAGAUUUAGCCAAUGGUAGCAUGUUAGGCUGGAUCAACCUCUCUGAAGAUGGACACAGUUCUGAGAUGAUCCUCUUUCCCCAACCUCCCUCUCCCCUAUUGCAUAAAGUCCGUAGCAAGGUGGUGGCUGAGGUGCACUCAGAGGCAGCUGCAGACCCACAGUCCUGCCCCUUUCCCUCUCUGGGGGAGGCAGAGCUGCUCUUCUGCAGGAAAAGUGGCAGCUCAAAUGGGAUGGACCAAAGGCUGGAGGACCUCAGGGCACCGCUUGAACCACCUGAUGGCAAUCACCCUUCCUCACAUCAGAAAUAAAAUGAAUUAAAUUGC
Molecule: long non-coding RNA, 2490 nt
Organism: Tyto alba (common barn owl)
Lineage: Eukaryota; Metazoa; Chordata; Aves; Strigiformes; Tytonidae
Exons: 6
Source: RefSeq, a predicted model, not a curated record